Molecule: long non-coding RNA, 241 nt
Filed under: Setaria italica (foxtail millet)
Lineage: Eukaryota; Viridiplantae; Streptophyta; Magnoliopsida; Poales; Poaceae
Description: long non-coding RNA (SITA_LNC002406)
Source: RNAcentral
GGAGGGGUUGGUUAGCACAAGAGGAGGGUGCUAGUAUAUUAAUGGCUCUUAGUUGCUAAGGGAAAGCCGGUACUCUGUCUGCCUUGGAGCAGGUUACUGGCUUCACCUCGAUCCACAUGGUAAACUUUCGAUCACCAUGAGUACUCGGUUGAACCCUCUAGGUGCCAUAGGAAGUGGGCGAAUAUUGUCUAGCCCCCAGCAUGCGAAGGGCUAAGAGGGUUGUAUGGUGAUCAGCUUGUAG